This is a long non-coding RNA of Oreochromis niloticus (Nile tilapia), 1881 nucleotides long. RefSeq lists it as uncharacterized. The transcript has 3 exons. The record is from RefSeq and is a predicted model, not a curated record. NCBI's taxonomy places the organism in Eukaryota, Metazoa, Chordata, Actinopteri, Cichliformes, Cichlidae.
CUACAUGCACGUGCACACAAGUGAGCGAUCACUAAUAAAUCACAGAUGCAUAAACAGUGUUUUAGCUUCAGCGCCGGGGUUGAAGUCCGUGUUGUCAAACUUUCAAUCAUACCUGUAGCCAGUUCUUUGAAUCUCUCAAAUGGGUUGAGAUAGCGCUGUGCGUGGUGACUUUCUUUCACUGCAUCCGCCUGCACGGAGCUAGAUGCGCAAAGCUGUGUGAAGAUUCAGUCCUGUAACGUGUUGCGCUAUGGAAUUAAUGUUUUCUUUGAAGAAUAUCCUGGCUGUUUUUUUUUUAUGUGGUAGAAAUCUGCUGCAAGGACUGAGCGGUGCCAUCGAAGGACUGGAUGCCACUGGAGGUGCCUAGAAAGGACGUUCUCAAUCUGAAGGCCACCUGUUUCCUUGGAGGGUGGAGCAAAGGGGUGUAACCCAGCUGAUACCUCGGUGCUCUGAUGACACCAACAGAAGUCACUCAGCCCCCGUAAACAGAGAAACCACACAGUUUAUCCCUGUGGAAAGAAAAUUACCACCAUGAAGCAGCCAAAAAGACGACAACAAAUUUACAGUGGGGACAGACCCUUUAGCUGUGAUCAGUGUGGGAAGUCUUUUAAUCAAAUUAGUCAUCAAAUUAGUCACUUAAAAACACAUCAGCUCAUCCAUGCUGGAGUUAGACCAUUCGAGAAAGUCUCGCACUGUGUCAAGCGAAUCCCCUACGCGACCACAUAGUUCGCUCUAACAGUUCUUUAUUCUGUUGCUUGUUCGCACAAUACUCGGUUGCUUUUCAGCUGCAACCCCACACACAACAACCACCUCAGGUCCCGACACGUCUUAUGCAGGGGAGGCGUGAUGAACUGAUGGAGCUGCAGUCUGUCCGCCUCCCCUGCAGCUGCGCCACAAACCACUCCCCGCUGCACAGACCCUAUCUGGGAAACUGGUUCCAGAGCCUGAGCAUUGUUUUGAAGCAAGCUACAUUGUAUCUAAUCAGUAUCUCUGAUUCUGUUCCGAUGUCCCGAUUGUAAUCAAACUGCAACAAAAACCAUUAAACCCGUCUGUCAGCUGAGUUGUUGUGGCAUGAAUGUUCAUCAUGAAUUGUUGAAAAAUUGUAACAACAAAGUUAAGUAUUUUUGUAAUGGCUGAACGCAGUUUUUGCACAAUUGAAAAUGAGUGGGAGAUGUAACAAAGGUGAAUCUUUAUUUAGGCUGUUGUCUGACUGCAGAAUUACAAAGUCCAUGAAAUGAGGAGCCAAAUGCAGAAUGAUAAAGUUCAUGAGAUUAAAAAGCAAAUUAAUUCCACUGUCCUUCAUAAACAGAAGACACCACCAUUUAAACACAGAAAGCCAACAAAACAGGUGCAGAUGAUCAAUGACAAUGAGAGAGGAGAGGGACGUAAAACUAAACAUGAAACAUGUUUCUGACAGUUGACCGCCAAAAUAAAAUGGGACACAUCCGGUGCGAAUAUCAAACUAAAGAGGGAAACAGACACAGGGAUAAACCCCGCGGAAUAAAGACUCCAAACAUGCUCAAGAACAAAAGAAGAGUAUUAAACGAUACUGUAAACACAGUGUACAAAUGUUUGGACAAAUUUACUUGUAAUCAGAAGGUUUUUCAGAGCUGAUUGCGUUUUUCUUCCCUAGUGCUCUUUUGAAAUCUCUCUGUGAUGAUUUUUAAUUUGAGAUCGGAUAACUCAGGCUUUCUGCUCCCUACUCCUCAGGCUGACUCUCUUCUAGGCUCUCCUGACUGUUCCCUUUACAUGCUGAUGAUGUGUCUUGUAAAUCUGGAUCCCAUUCCAGCAGGACGCUCCUCUUCUUCAGACAGUACCUCAGCUGCUCUCUCUCCUGACAGUCAGCUGUCCACCUCUGCAUGGCCAGUCGAGCCAGCGCCGGCA